CGAACGGGGUGAGUAAUGCGUGACCAACCUGCCCCAUGCUCCAGAAUAGCUCUUGGAAACGGGUGGUAAUGCUGGAUGCUCCAACUUGACGCAUGUCUUGUUGGGAAAGUGUUUAGUGGCAUGGGAUGGGGUCGCGUCCUAUCAGCUUGUAGGCGGGGUAAUGGCCCACCUAGGCUUCGACGGGUAGCCGGCCUGAGAGGGCGGACGGCCACAUUGGGACUGAGAUACGGCCCAGACUCCUACGGGAGGCAGCAGA
Molecule: ribosomal RNA, 256 nt
Filed under: uncultured Gardnerella sp.
Lineage: Bacteria; Bacillati; Actinomycetota; Actinomycetes; Bifidobacteriales; Bifidobacteriaceae
Description: partial 16S ribosomal RNA
Rfam family: Bacterial small subunit ribosomal RNA
Source: RNAcentral